RNAcentral lists this ribosomal RNA (423 nucleotides) under uncultured bacterium. RNAcentral's name for it is "bacterial SSU rRNA". It matches the Rfam family "Bacterial small subunit ribosomal RNA", at positions 356 to 776 of the family's 1533-position model. The record is from RNAcentral.
GAGGAAUAUUGGACAAUGGGCGAGAGCCUGAUCCAGCCAUGCCGCGUGCAGGAAGACUGCCCUAUGGGUUGUAAACUGCUUUUAUACGGGAAGAAACCUCCCCUCGUGAGGGGAGCUGACGGUACCGUAAGAAUAAGGAUCGGCUAACUCCGUGCCAGCAGCCGCGGUAAUACGGAGGAUCCAAGCGUUAUCCGGAAUCAUUGGGUUUAAAGGGUCCGUAGGCGGGCAGCUAAGUCAGUGGUGAAAGUCUGCAGCUCAACUGUAGAAUUGCCAUUGAUACUGGUUGUCUUGAAUUAGUAUGAAGUGGUUAGAAUGAGUAGUGUAGCGGUGAAAUGCAUAGAUAUUACUCAGAAUACCAAUUGCGAAGGCAGAUCACUAAUACUAUAUUGACGCUGAGGGACGAAAGCGUGGGGAGCGAACAGG